ACAGGAUGCUCGCUACGGCGAGUGAAGCGGCAAAAGCUCAAAUUUGAAACCCUCGGGAUUGUAAUUUGAAGAUUUGGCAUUGGAGAAAGCUAACCCAAGGUUGCUUGGAAUAGUACGUCAUAGAGGGUGACAACCCCGUCUGGCUAACCGUUCUCCAUGUAUUGCCUUAUCAAAGAGUCGAGUUGUUUGGGAAUGCAGCUCAAAGUGGGUGGUAAACUCCAUCUAAAGCUAAAUACUGGUGAGAGACCGAUAGCGAACAAGUACUGUGAAGGAAAGGUGAAAAGAACUUUGAAAAGAGAGUGAAAUAGUAUGUGAAAUUGUUGAUAGGGAAGGAAAUGAGUGGAGAGUGGCCGA
RNAcentral lists this ribosomal RNA (354 nucleotides) under Yarrowia lipolytica. RNAcentral's name for it is "eukaryotic LSU rRNA". It matches the Rfam family "Eukaryotic large subunit ribosomal RNA", at positions 69 to 441 of the family's 3401-position model. Lineage: Eukaryota; Fungi; Ascomycota; Dipodascomycetes; Dipodascales. The record is from RNAcentral.